GCCUACGACCAAAUCACCCCUAAACCUCCCUGAUCCUGUCAGAUCUGGAACGCUAAGCAUCGGGUAAACCUGGUUAAUACUUGAAUGGGUGACCACCACAUGGCUUGCCAUGUGUUGUAGGCA
Molecule: ribosomal RNA, 123 nt
Filed under: Petromyzon marinus (sea lamprey)
Lineage: Eukaryota; Metazoa; Chordata; Hyperoartia; Petromyzontiformes; Petromyzontidae
Source: RNAcentral